GCGGCCGCCGCGCAACGUCCACGCCCCGCCUGUCCAGCGGCCGGGAGGCGGGACCAGCCGCCGCGACGGAGGCCUCCCAUUGCUGUCAUGGAGGGCCCCAUCCUUCACUCCUCGUGAAGCAUCCUCCACCCUCACUCUCAGAACAGUUCUAUUUAACGAAGAAUUGGGGUUCCAGAGACAGAAUUUGUUAACUCAAAUUCCAUUCAUUUAUCCCUCCUUUCAACCAAAGAUUAUCCCGAAGGGAACAGUUUCAGAAAAAGGUGAGAAGACUUGUGUGGACUGAUCCACAGGGAAGUGAGCAGAACCAGGAGAACGAUCUAAACAGUAACAACCUCAGCACUGUUUGUAAAGAAGACUUCAAAUGAAUUUGCCCGAGUGUCUGUGUUAGGGUUGUGA
Molecule: long non-coding RNA, 396 nt
Organism: Gracilinanus agilis (Agile Gracile Mouse Opossum)
Lineage: Eukaryota; Metazoa; Chordata; Mammalia; Didelphimorphia; Didelphidae
Exons: 2
Source: RefSeq, a predicted model, not a curated record